ACGGAAGGCAGCAGUGGGGAAUAUUGCACAAUGGGCGAAAGCCUGAUGCAGCGACGCCGCGUGAACGAAGAAGUAUUUCGGUAUGUAAAGUUCUAUCAGCAGGGAAGAUAAUGACGGUACCUGACUAAGAAGCACCGGCUAAAUACGUGCCAGCAGCCGCGGUACUACGUAUGGUGCAAGCGUUAUCCGGAUUUACUGGGUGUAAAGGGAGCGCAGGCGGCGCGGCAAGUCUGAAGUGAAAUCCCGGGGCUCAACCCCGGAACUGCUUUGGAAACUGUCGUGCUAGAGUGUCGGAGGGGUAAGCGGAAUUCCUAGUGUAGCGGUGAAAUGCGUAGAUAUUAGGAGGAACACCAGUGGCGAAGGCGGCUUACUGGACGAUAACUGACGCUGAGGCUCGAAAGCGUGGGGAGCAAACAGGAUUAGAUACCCUGGUA
RNAcentral lists this ribosomal RNA (434 nucleotides) under uncultured Lachnospiraceae bacterium. Its description in RNAcentral is "partial 16S ribosomal RNA". It matches the Rfam family "Bacterial small subunit ribosomal RNA", at positions 341 to 792 of the family's 1533-position model. Lineage: Bacteria; Bacillati; Bacillota; Clostridia; Lachnospirales; Lachnospiraceae. The record is from RNAcentral.